This 111-nucleotide transfer RNA is filed under the name Anaerosolibacter carboniphilus. Its description in RNAcentral is "tRNA-OTHER". Lineage: Bacteria; Bacillati; Bacillota; Clostridia; Peptostreptococcales; Thermotaleaceae. The record is from RNAcentral.
AUAUGUCUAUAGGUAACACAAGAAGACAAAGGAUACUAUCUCUUAUCGAACAUAUGUUCUGAGUAACUACGAAUCAGAAGGUCGGGAGUUCGAAUCUCUCUGGGCGCACCA